RNAcentral lists this ribosomal RNA (253 nucleotides) under uncultured bacterium. RNAcentral describes it as "partial 16S ribosomal RNA". It matches the Rfam family "Bacterial small subunit ribosomal RNA", at positions 524 to 776 of the family's 1533-position model. The record is from RNAcentral.
UACGAAGGGGGCUAGCGUUGCUCGGAAUCACUGGGCGUAAAGGGCGCGUAGGCGGCCAUGCGUGUCUUCCGUGAAAUCCCUCGGCUUAACUGAGGACGUGCGGAAGAAACUGCAAGGCUUGAGUCCGGGAGAGGGGGGUGGAAUUCCCAGUGUAGCGGUGAAAUGCGUAGAUAUUGGGAGGAACACCGGUGGCGAAGGCGGCCCCCUGGACCGGUACUGACGCUGAGGCGCGAAAGCGUGGGUAGCAAACGGG